ACGUAGGAACCGAGCGUUGUCCGGAUUUACUGGGCGUAAAGGGCGCGUAGGCGGCCCGUUAAGUCUCAUGUGAAAUCUCCCGGCCCAACUGGGAGGGGUCAUGAGAAACUGACGGGCUCGAGGUCAGCAGAGGAGAGUGGAAUUCCCGGAGUAGUGGUGAUAUGCGUAGAUACCGGGAGGAACACCCGAGGCGAAGGCGACUCUCUGGGCUGAAUCUGACGCUGAGGCGCGAAAGCAUGGGGAGCAAACCGG
This 252-nucleotide ribosomal RNA is filed under the name uncultured bacterium. RNAcentral's name for it is "partial 16S ribosomal RNA". It matches the Rfam family "Bacterial small subunit ribosomal RNA", at positions 525 to 776 of the family's 1533-position model. The record is from RNAcentral.